CAGUAGCCGCGGUAAUACGGAGGGAGCUAGCGUUGUUCGGAAUUACUGGGCGUAAAGCGCGCGUAGGCGGUUACUCAAGUCAGAGGUGAAAGCCCGGAGCUCAACUCCGGAAUUGCCUUUAAGACUGCCGAGCUAGCAGGUGAGAGAGGUAAGUGGAAUUCCGAGUGUAGAGGUGAAAUUCGUAGAUAUUCGGAAGAACACCAGUGGCGAAGGCGGCUUACUGGCUCAUACUGGACGCUGAGGUGCGAAAGCGUGGGGAGCAAACAGGAUUAGAUACCCCUGUAGUCCCUGUCUCUUAUAC
This 301-nucleotide ribosomal RNA is filed under the name uncultured bacterium. RNAcentral's name for it is "partial 16S ribosomal RNA". It matches the Rfam family "Bacterial small subunit ribosomal RNA", at positions 509 to 807 of the family's 1533-position model. The record is from RNAcentral.